AGAAGGGAGAGGAACAGGAAAAGGGAGACUUGCACUGUGAGGUGGCAGCCGGGAGCCAGGGUUAUGUCUCAGUUUUUCUCCUGGUGGGCUGCAGUCAUGACAGGGCCCCGUCAACCCUGGUCUGCCUGCCUCACAGCUGGUCACGAGUGAAUGGGACACUUCUCCAGCUCUUUGGUGACAUGUGUCUGCCUGCCCAGCUACCUCACUAGAUCCGCUUUGAUAAAGUGGCAUCAGGCAUUGGCAGCCCCUCCUGGCAUGUCUUCAGAGGAAGAGAGAGAAGUUCCACAGGGCCAUCCAUACACGUACUGGUACAGGGAUGAUUACAGGCCAGGCCCUGGAGGACCUCACUCUUUUUGGAAUAGACUUUCUGCUCUCUUUUCACUUCCCUUCUUAUUAUAGGAGAGCUCGGCUAAGGCUGAACCACAUGUCUGGAUGGAUCGGAAUGGAAAAACAAUACCAGAAGGGAAGUCAAGGUCAGAAGGAGGAGGCUGUCCUCUCCAGUGGAACAGACCAAUAGUGAAAGGACAAGAGACAUUUCUAAGUCCCUUGCUUGAUAAGCAAAACUGACAAAGAAGAUAACUGUAAAUAAUUGGUCUUUUCAUAUCAACUCAGAAAUGUACAACCCUCACCAGUAUCUGUUCCUGGGUCAAAUAAAGAGAAACAAAAAUUCCCUCAAGAA
Long non-coding RNA from Suricata suricatta (meerkat), 679 nucleotides. RefSeq lists it as uncharacterized. The transcript is spliced from 2 exons. Lineage: Eukaryota; Metazoa; Chordata; Mammalia; Carnivora; Herpestidae. The record is from RefSeq and is a predicted model, not a curated record.